This 282-nucleotide ribosomal RNA is filed under the name thelephoroid fungal sp. 1. RNAcentral's name for it is "partial large subunit ribosomal RNA". It matches the Rfam family "Bacterial large subunit ribosomal RNA", at positions 1773 to 2059 of the family's 2925-position model. Lineage: Eukaryota; Fungi; Basidiomycota; Agaricomycetes; Thelephorales; Thelephoraceae. The record is from RNAcentral.
GUGGUGUCACAAAAUCGGAGGCCACGACUGUUUACUAAAAACACAAUUCAGAGCAAUGAUGAAAAUCAUAGUAUUCUGGAUGAAAUUUGCCCGAUGCCAUUAACAUAAAAGAGGUAAUGGGUAACUGUUACUAAUUGAAAGUCUGGUUAAUAGCGGUCUUAACUAUGAGGAUCCUAAGGUAGCAAAAUCAGUUGGCCAUUAAAUGUGGUCUGGUAUCAAUAGUGUAACGAUGGUCUCACUGUCUCUACAACUUGCUCAGUGAAAUUGAAUUAUCCGUGCAGA